UCCCAAGUGGUCUAGUGGUUAGGUUCGUGGUUUUUACCCACGCGGGCCCGGGUUCGAUUCCCGGCUUGGGAA
This 72-nucleotide transfer RNA is filed under the name Hofstenia miamia. Its description in RNAcentral is "tRNA-Lys for anticodon UUU". It matches the Rfam family "tRNA". Rfam says of the family: Transfer RNA (tRNA) molecules are approximately 80 nucleotides in length. Their secondary structure includes four short double-helical elements and three loops (D, anti-codon, and T loops). Lineage: Eukaryota; Metazoa; Xenacoelomorpha; Acoela; Hofsteniidae. The record is from RNAcentral.